GACGAACGCUGGCGGCGUGCUUAACACAUGCAAGUCGAACGGAAAGGCCCUGCUUUUGUGGGGUGCUCGAGUGGCGAACGGGUGAGUAACACGUGAGUAACCUGCCCUUGACUUUGGGAUAACUUCAGGAAACUGGGGCUAAUACCGGAUAGGAGCUCCUGCUGCAUGGUGGGGGUUGGAAAGUUUCGGCGGUUGGGUAUGGACUCGCGGCUUAUCAGCUUGUUGGUGGGGUAGUGGCUUACCAAGGCUUUGACGGGUAGCCUGCCUGAGAGGGUGACCGGCCACAUUGGGACUGAGAGACGGAGCAGACUCCUACGGGAGGCAGCAGUGGGGAAUAUUGCACAAUGUGCGGAAGCCUGAUGCAGCAACGCCGCGUGCGGGAUGACGGCCUUCGGGUUGUAAACCGCUUUCGCCUGUGACGAAGCGUGAGUGACGGUAAUGGGUAAAGAAGCACCGGCUAACUACGUG
Molecule: ribosomal RNA, 468 nt
Filed under: uncultured bacterium
Lineage: Bacteria
Description: partial 16S ribosomal RNA
Rfam family: Bacterial small subunit ribosomal RNA
Source: RNAcentral